Molecule: ribosomal RNA, 225 nt
Filed under: Paenibacillus mangrovi
Lineage: Bacteria; Bacillati; Bacillota; Bacilli; Caryophanales; Paenibacillaceae
Description: partial 23S ribosomal RNA
Rfam family: Bacterial large subunit ribosomal RNA
Source: RNAcentral
CGGGAUGGACGUACCGCUGGUGCACCAGUUGUUCCGCCAGGAGCAUGGCUGGGUAGCUACGUACGGAAGGGAUAAGCGCUGAAAGCAUCUAAGCGUGAAGCCCCCCUCAAGAUGAGAUUUCCCAAUUCGUAAGACCCCUUGAAGACGACGAGGUAGAUAGGUUGGAGGUGGAAGUGCAGCAAUGCAUGGAGCUGACCAAUACUAAUCGGUCGAGGGCUUAUCCUA